AGGAGACUGUUUAGGCCAUGCCUGGCAUCAGUAACUCAGGCUGUUUCCCACACUACAGGCCAGCACUGUGGGCUCUCAGUUUAUUGGGAAAUGGAAAUAAGAGGGAAGGACAAAAGUCCACUGGGAAGCAGACUGGACAGAAAGGAACUCUGAGCAGCUAAACUCUGACUAAUCCCAGGGUAUACCUGCGUUUUCUCUUCACCAGACAAACUGCGGCCUGGACCAGCUGGUGAAACAUAAUUCUGAAUCCUGCCCACAGCCUUCGGUGGUUUUGGAUGAAAGGCCAGCGCCUUGGGAGCCCUGCGUUUGAUUUCAAGUUUUAAGGCCGGCACUGGUGGAGCAAUGAAUGGUGAAAGCUCUCCCCUUAAAGGAGCACAGUUGCCUUUAGGUGACUGCUAACUCAGGCUUUUGCUGAGGACAGUGUUUACUUUGUGAGCUUAAUGACAGGGCUGGCUUUCUGGGAGUGUUGCAAUGAAACAGACUCAGACACAGGCCAUCAUGGGCCUCCUCCCUAGCAAGGCCGCCACGGCUGGCAUCUCAAGAGCAGUCCGUUGAACUUGGGAUUUGGGUGUGAGACACAGUUUCAUCAGAAGAAUUUAAACCAAAGUCUACAUUUGCCCUCUAGAUAAAUGUGUGUGUUCAGCAGCA
This 648-nucleotide long non-coding RNA is filed under the name Homo sapiens (human). RNAcentral describes it as "HSALNT0301383". Lineage: Eukaryota; Metazoa; Chordata; Mammalia; Primates; Hominidae. The record is from RNAcentral.